GGAGGGGGCUGUGGCCAUUGUUGAGCUCCCUCCCCAUGCAUGCACAGCAGCUGAGUUAUGGCUGCACGCCCACCUUACUGUUUGGUGGCAUGUAAUUUGAAUACAGAUUAGUUGGCCUCAGUGUUCCAGUGCUUUGGCACUACCAUUACUGGGGACAGUAAUUUGACUGAUGAACACAAGGGUUAUCACAAGGUCAUCACCUUCAGCGAGGUAAGAGGGGGAUGGUGUGCCAGCCAGCCCACUUUUGGGAACCACCAGCCAAGAAGUCUUUCAAUAGCAUAAUUAGUUCCUUUAAUUAAGAGGUGAGCUAGCUGAUUGAAUAAAUCCGCUGCUAAUGGAGCAUCCGAUUUCCCAUUCCAAUAGCUCAUGUGUACUUCUGUUGCCAUUUACUCCCUCAGGAUGUAGUGAAAAUAAUGGGCAGAUUCUGACAGAUUUGUAAUGACAGGCUGUUGAUGUAACACUUGACUGCAAAAUUUUGAAGGGGGAGCAGCAGUGCCGGGCCACUGGAACACACGGGAUCAGUGAUUCACGAAAGAGCUGUCGCACUGGGCCGGAGCUGCGUGAGGGAUUGCACAUGCUGGAGACGGCCACGCUGUGUAUAUCUUUGUGUGCUUUUGCUGCUUCUUUGGCACUUUUGUAUGUGUCUGUGCUUCACAAACCUGAAGAUAAUAGGAAAGUAAA
Sinocyclocheilus anshuiensis is the source of this 681-nucleotide long non-coding RNA. Lineage: Eukaryota; Metazoa; Chordata; Actinopteri; Cypriniformes; Cyprinidae. The record is from Ensembl.